UACGUAGGGUGCAAGCGUUAAUCGGAUUUACUGGGCGUAAAGCGUGCGCAGGCGGUUUUGUAAGUCUGAUGUGAAAUCCCCGGGCUCAACCUGGGAAUUGCAUUGGAGACUGCAAGGCUAGAAUCUGGCAGAGGGGGGUAGAAUUCCACGUGUAGCAGUGAAAUGCGUAGAGAUGUGGAGGAACACCGAUGGCGAAGGCAGCCCCCUGGGUCAAGAUUGACGCUCAUGCACGAAAGCGUGGGGAGCAAACAGG
Molecule: ribosomal RNA, 253 nt
Filed under: uncultured bacterium
Lineage: Bacteria
Description: partial 16S ribosomal RNA
Rfam family: Bacterial small subunit ribosomal RNA
Source: RNAcentral